UACGGAGGGUGCAAGCGUUGUCCGGAUUUAUUGGGUUUAAAGGGUGCGUAGGCGGCCCAUUAAGUCAGCGGUGAAAGCCCGGGGCUCAACCCCGGAACCGCCGUUGAUACUGGUGGGCUUGAGUAUGGACGAGGUUGGCGGAAUUGAGGUUGUAGCGGUGAAAUGCUUAGAUACCCUCAAGAACACCGAUUGCGUAGGCAGCUAACUAGGCCAUAACUGACGCUGAGGCACGAAAGCGUGGGGAGCGAACAGG
RNAcentral lists this ribosomal RNA (253 nucleotides) under uncultured bacterium. RNAcentral describes it as "partial 16S ribosomal RNA". It matches the Rfam family "Bacterial small subunit ribosomal RNA", at positions 524 to 776 of the family's 1533-position model. The record is from RNAcentral.